AGCGCGUCACAUACGGAGCGGCAGACGGGAGAGUAACCGUGGGAACGUGCCCUUUGGUUCGGAACACCCAGGGAAACUUGGGCUAAUACCGGAUAAGCCCUUACGGGGAAAGAUUUAUCGCCGAAGGAUCGGCCCGCGUAUGAUUAGCUAGUUGGUGGGGUAAUGGCCCACCAAGGCGACGAUCAGUAACUGGUCUGAGAGGAUGAUCAGCCUCACUGGGACUGAGACACGGCCCAGACUCCUACGGGAGGCAGCAGUGGGGAAUAUUGGACAAUGGGCGCAAGCCUGAUCCAGCCAUGCCGCGUGGGUGAUGAAGGCCCUAGGGUUGUAAAGCCCUUUCGGCGGGGAAGAUAAUGACGGUACCCGCAGAAGAAGCCCCGGCUAACUUCGUGCCAGCAGCCGCGGUAAU
This 409-nucleotide ribosomal RNA is filed under the name uncultured bacterium. RNAcentral describes it as "bacterial SSU rRNA". It matches the Rfam family "Bacterial small subunit ribosomal RNA", at positions 65 to 524 of the family's 1533-position model. The record is from RNAcentral.